This 458-nucleotide ribosomal RNA is filed under the name uncultured bacterium. Its description in RNAcentral is "partial 16S ribosomal RNA". It matches the Rfam family "Bacterial small subunit ribosomal RNA", at positions 338 to 795 of the family's 1533-position model. The record is from RNAcentral.
CCUACGGGUGGCUGCAGUGAGGAAUAUUGGUCAAUGGGCGCGAGCCUGAACCAGCCAAGUCGCGUGAGGGAAGACGGUCCUAUGGAUUGUAAACCUCUUUUGUCGGGGAGCAAAAGACGCCACGUGUGGCGUUCCGAGAGUACCGAAGAAAAAGCAUCGGCCUACUCCGUGCCAGCAGCCGCGGUUAUACGGAGGAUGCGAGCGUUAUUCGGGUUUAUUUGGUUUAAAGGGGGCUCCGGCGGAAGAUCAAGUCAGCGGUAAAAUUGAGAGGCUCAACCUCUUCGAGCCGUUGAAACUGGUUUUCUUGAGUGAGCGAGAGGUAUGCGGAAUGCGUGGUGUAGCGGUGAAAUGCAUAGAUAUCACGCAGAACUCCGAUUGCGAAGGCAGCAUACCGGCGCUCAACUGACGCUCAUGCACGAAAGUGUGGGUAUCGAACAGGAUUAGAUACCCGAGUAGUC